CGUGAAAUUGUUGAAAGGGAAGCGCUUGUGACCAGACUUGGGCUUGGUUGAUCAUCCGGGGUUCUCCCCGGUGCACUCUUCCGGCUCAGGCCAGCAUCAGUUCGCCCUGGGGGAUAAAGGCUUCGGGAAUGUGGCUCUCUCCGGGGAGUGUUAUAGCCCGCUGCGUAAUACCCUGUGGCGGACUGAGGUUCGCGCAUUCGCAAGGAUGCUGGCGUAAUGGUCAUCAGUGACCCGUCUUGAAACACGG
RNAcentral lists this ribosomal RNA (247 nucleotides) under Fusarium sp. Its description in RNAcentral is "partial large subunit ribosomal RNA". It matches the Rfam family "Eukaryotic large subunit ribosomal RNA", at positions 398 to 664 of the family's 3401-position model. The record is from RNAcentral. Lineage: Eukaryota; Fungi; Ascomycota; Sordariomycetes; Hypocreales; Nectriaceae.